Molecule: unclassified non-coding RNA, 431 nt
Filed under: fungal sp.
Lineage: Eukaryota; Fungi
Description: partial internal transcribed spacer region
Source: RNAcentral
AAGUCGUAACAAGGUUUCCGUAGGAUCAUUAACACGUAUCGCCCGUGCACGUUGAAAAAGAGAAAAUGGGAUCAGCUCUGCUGAUGAGGAACCGUUUGUGGUAGAUGAUGCGUUUGCGUACGAGAUGGAGAUACAGCGCGGUUGUUGGGGCUGUGCGAUGACAGAGGAAUCAACUGAUUAUUUCCUUAUGGAGUCCAGUCUCAACCUUCUGGGAAACUCCUGGUUCGUUGGUCUUCUGUGUCUUUGUUUUGUAGUGUGUUGUUGAUGGGGUUGGUAACCUUCUUUUUCUUCGAGUAACGUUGGCUAAUCUUUCAUGUGGGGAGUUGAACCAGGCCGCUUUAAUUGAAAAAUAAACCCGAACUAACCUGACAAAACCUGUCCGAAAGGACAACGAAACCCGAACCUGUUAACAAUGGAUAUCUUGGUUCUCA